Molecule: ribosomal RNA, 253 nt
Filed under: uncultured bacterium
Lineage: Bacteria
Description: partial 16S ribosomal RNA
Rfam family: Bacterial small subunit ribosomal RNA
Source: RNAcentral
UACGUAGGGUGCAAGCGUUGUCCGGAAUUAUUGGGCGUAAAGAGCUCGUAGGCAGUCUGUCGCGUCGGCUGUGAAAUCCCGAGGCUCAACCUCGGGUCUGCAGUCGAUACGGGCAAACUAGAGGAUUGCAGGGGAGACUGGAAUUCCUGGUGUAGCGGUGAAAUGCGUAGAUAUCUGGAGGAACACCGGUGGCGAAGGCGGCGUCCUGGACCGAUAUUGACGCUGAUGCGCGAAAGCCAGGGGAGCAAACGGG